GUCUAUUGCCAUGCCACCCUGAACAAGCCCAAUCUCGUCUGAUCUUGGAAGCUAAGCAGAGUGAGGCCUGGUUAGUACUUGGAUGGGAGACCACCUAGGAAGAACAGAUGCUGUAGGCA
This 119-nucleotide ribosomal RNA is filed under the name Pteropus vampyrus (large flying fox). Lineage: Eukaryota; Metazoa; Chordata; Mammalia; Chiroptera; Pteropodidae. The record is from RNAcentral.